RNAcentral lists this ribosomal RNA (714 nucleotides) under uncultured bacterium. Its description in RNAcentral is "bacterial SSU rRNA". It matches the Rfam family "Bacterial small subunit ribosomal RNA", at positions 8 to 696 of the family's 1533-position model. The record is from RNAcentral.
AGAGUUUGAUCAUGGCUCAGNANNAACGCUGGCGGCGUGCCUAACACAUGCAAGUCGCGCGAGAAAAGGGGGGCAACUCCCUGAGUAAAGCGGCGCACGGGUGAGUAACACGUAGGUAAUCUACCCUCGAGUCCAGGAUAACCCGCCGAAAGGUGGGCUAAUACCGGAUAUGACCACGGGAGUUUCGGCUCCUGCGGUGAAAGGUGGCCUCUGCUUGCAAGCUACUGCUCGGAGAUGAGCCUGCGGGCCAUUAGCUAGUUGGUGAGGUAACGGCUCACCAAGGCGAUGAUGGCUAGCUGGUCUGAGAGGAUGGCCAGCCACACUGGGACUGAAACACGGCCCAGACUCCUACGGGAGGCAGCAGUGGGGGAUAUUGCGCAAUGGGCGAAAGCCUGACGCAGCGACGCCGCGUGGGUGAUGAAGGCCUUCGGGUCGUAAAGCCCUGUCGAGGGGAACGAAACGGUCUCGACCUAACACGUCGAGUCCCUGACGGUACCCCUAAAGGAAGCACCGGCUAACUCCGUGCCAGCAGCCGCGGUAAUACGAAGGGUGCAAGCGUUGUUCGGAAUCACUGGGCGUAAAGGGCGUGUAGGCGGUCCGCUAAGUCUGAUGUGAAAGCCCGGGGCUCACCCCCGGAAGGGCAUUGGAAACUGGCGGACUCGAGUCCCGGAGAGGAAGGUGGAAUUCCUGGUGUAGCGGUGAAAUGCGUANNUA